UGAGGAAAAAACAAAGCAAACCGGGGAAGUACGUAGCCUUGAACCGGAGUAACCAGGGACAGAAAGGAAGGAAAAGGGUUUCAUACCUUCACGGAACGACGCUCACUUCGUCCGCCUGAGGAGGAAAAAUAAGUUUAAACCUUUCUGUGAAAAAGAACGUGGAGCCCUUUCUGCCGAAUGGAAACCCGCUAAACCCCGUUAUGGAGUCUGCUACAAUUAAGCAUCUAACCAGGAAUUGUCUAUGGACACAACUCUCCAGGCAAUUCAUGCAGAAAGUGUGUUGACGAUUUCCUGUUUCUUGCAGAGCGCUUCACCGUUAAGGCUCUUAGUAGCUGGCGAUUGUAAAGCACAUUUUCCGCUUCAUGAAAAUACAGUGCUCUUCUUGUGUUUGUAACCUUGGAAAGUAAGUCUGCUAUGAUAAGUUUAGGGAAGUGGCGGGGAGCUACUUUCCUAACAUAUCUGUGAUUGUUUUGAUACUUCUCAGUUUCUCGCGGGCAUUUCCUGCGUUCUCUAUAGGGCUCUCUUGCACUGAAUAAGGAAAGGAGGAAUUCUCUCUGCAUUGAGGCUAUUAUCGCACAUUGUGCGGUGGAUAUAGUCACGCGCUGGGUCGUAGUAGCGUGUCGUUUAUUUCAGUCCAGCUCACUCUUGGUAGAAUCCCUUUAUUCGUUUUGUUGUUUUUGAUAGUCUCUCUCUGCUUCCCAGGCUAGAGUGCAAUGGCGCUAUCUCGACUCACUGUAGCCUCCGCCUUGAGGGCUCAAGCGAUCCUCUCACCUCAGCCUCCCGAGUAGCUGGGACCGUAGACGCCUGCUCCCCAUCCCCGCUAUAUUCGUUCUUUAAUACAGUCUCUCAGCUUGUUCAGCUGCCACUUCUGUGCAGCUCAUUAGCCUGAUCGGUGAAAACUAGGCGAGACGCGCACACUGACCCUGCAGUGCAUCUUGGGAGUUGUAGUCAUAACUAAUCAAUGGUCUUGUUAAAACGUGCUUAUGUUUUGACCAGAUCGCUUAAGUGUGGACACCCUUCAGCAGUACACUACAACGUGGGUCAGUGUACAGAACACAUGCUGAUAGAAAUAAUUUCAAAAUCUGGAUUCAUAGUUUUUUUUUUUAAUCUAGAGACCUCAGAAAAUGUACUUGAAGAAAAUCAUCAUAAUAUAAUACAUAACAAUAGAGCCAAUUAAUUGAUGUGAUGAAAGUGGACAAAAUGUAUUUUGACCUCAGAGAAAAUAACAUUUCUGUCUUGGAAGAGUCAGAGAAUGCUUCACACAAUUUUUGAGCCUGAUGUUAGACUCUCCAGCCUUCUGUCCAAGCCUCACCCUUUGGUUACUCCCCAGGAAGACUGAACUUGGGAAGAGGAUUGUGCAGACCCUGGAGUCAGGCUUGGCGUUUGGGAUAGGGAAUACUAGAGUGCCCACAGCAUGGUCUGGAAAAGGGAAAGUGGGCUGCAGGUGGCUACAGUCCCAUGAUUCCAUGGAUUUCAGACCCCUCCAAAGCACAGGGCUCAGUGCUUAUCCAAGUCUGAGGGCCCCCCAUAACCACAUCUUCCCCAGCAGAUGUUCUUUGCUUCAGGCAGUCAUCAAAGUUCCACUUCAAAGAGUUGCUAACCAAAUAAGCCCACAAUCUUCCUUUUUUGUUGUUUUGAAUAAGUAAUGCCUUUACACAUAUGAAAUUAAAAAGAGAGGCCGGGCAUGGUGGCUCACGCCUGUAAUCCCAGCACUUUGGGAGGGCGAGGUGGGCAGAUUGCCCGAGGUCAGGAGAUCCAGACCAGCCAGGCCAACGUGGUGAAACCCUG
This 1788-nucleotide long non-coding RNA is filed under the name Homo sapiens (human). RNAcentral's name for it is "non-protein coding lnc-CFAP36-3:6". Lineage: Eukaryota; Metazoa; Chordata; Mammalia; Primates; Hominidae. The record is from RNAcentral.